Molecule: ribosomal RNA, 118 nt
Filed under: Xenopus tropicalis (tropical clawed frog)
Lineage: Eukaryota; Metazoa; Chordata; Amphibia; Anura; Pipidae
Source: RNAcentral
GCCUACGGCCAUACCACCCUGAAAGCGCCCGAUCUCGUCUGAUCUCGGAAGCUAAGCAGGGACGGGCUUGGUUAGUACCUGGAUGGGAGACCGCCUGGAAUACCAGGUGUUGUAGGCU